This 497-nucleotide ribosomal RNA is filed under the name uncultured bacterium. RNAcentral's name for it is "partial 16S ribosomal RNA". It matches the Rfam family "Bacterial small subunit ribosomal RNA", at positions 28 to 507 of the family's 1533-position model. The record is from RNAcentral.
GACGAACGCUGGCGGCGUGCCUAAUACAUGCAAGUUGAGCGAUGAAGAUUGGUGCUUGCACCAAUUUGAAGAGCAGCGAACGGGUGAGUAACGCGUGGGGAAUCUGCCUUUGAGCGGGGGGCAACAUUUGGAAACGAAUGCUAAUACCGCAUAACAACUUUAAACAUAAGUUUUAAGUUUGAAAGAUGCAAUUGCAUCACUCAAAGAUGAUCCCGCGUUGUAUUAGCUAGUUGGUGAGGUAAAGGCUCACCAAGGCGAUGAUACAUAGCCGACAUGAGAGGGUGAUCGGCCACAUUGGGACUGAGACACGGCCCAAACUCCUACGGGAGGCAGCAGUAGGGAAUCUUCGGCAAUGGACGAAAGUCUGACCGAGCAACGCCGCGUGAGUGAAGAAGGUUUUCGGAUCGUAAAACUCUGUUGGUAGAGAAGAACGUUGGUGAGAGUGGAAAGCUCAUCAAGUGACGGUAACUACCCAGAAAGGGACGGCUAACUACGUG